UUUUGAAAGGGGUUGUAGCUGGCCGUCUCUCUGGGGCGGCAUGUGCACGCCCUGAUCACUAUCCAUCUCACACACCUGUGCACACACUGUAGGUUGGCUUGUGAUUGGAGCCACGGUCUUCAUUGACUUUGCUCUGGUUGGAGGCCCUCCUAUGUAUUAUCACAAACUACUUCAGUUUAAAGAAUGUACUCUUGCGUCUAACGCAUUUGAAUACAACUUUCAGCAACGGAUCUCUUGGCUCUCGCAUCGAUGAAGAACGCAGCGAAAUGCGAUAAGUAAUGUGAAUUGCAGAAUUCAGUGAAUCAUCGAAUCUUUGAACGCACCUUGCGCUCCUUGGUAUUCCGAGGAGCAUGCCUGUUUGAGUGUCAUGGAAUUCUCAACUCUAUUUGCUUUUGUGAAUAGAGCUUGGAUUUGGAGGUUUUAUUGCUGGUACUUGUGAUCGGCUCCUCUUGAAUGCAUUAGCUCGAACCUUUGCGGAUCAGCUAUCGGUGUGAUAAUUGUCUACGCCGUUGCAGUGAAGCAUAUCAAUGGGCUCGGCUUCCAAUCGUCCUUUACUGGACAAUGACUUUGACCUUUGACCUCAAAUCAGGUAGGAUUACCCGCUGAACUUAAGCAUAUCAA
RNAcentral lists this ribosomal RNA (621 nucleotides) under fungal sp. AM2013. RNAcentral describes it as "eukaryotic LSU rRNA". The stretch from base 215 to 368 matches the Rfam family "5.8S ribosomal RNA". Lineage: Eukaryota; Fungi. The record is from RNAcentral.